This 446-nucleotide ribosomal RNA is filed under the name Salmonella enterica. RNAcentral's name for it is "partial 23S ribosomal RNA". It matches the Rfam family "Bacterial large subunit ribosomal RNA", at positions 1154 to 1574 of the family's 2925-position model. RNAcentral also lists the same sequence under 1 other name. Lineage: Bacteria; Pseudomonadati; Pseudomonadota; Gammaproteobacteria; Enterobacterales; Enterobacteriaceae. The record is from RNAcentral.
CGUAUCACCCAAGACAACUUUACGGAGUUGACGAUUGACGGAGCGAAGCGACGUCAAAGCGUUCAUUAAAGUCGAGUUGGCUUAGGGAUACGUUCGUUGGGUAGGGGAGCGUUCUGUAAGCCUGUGAAGGUGUGUCGUGAGGCAUGCUGGAGGUAUCAGAAGUGCGAAUGCUGACAUAAGUAACGAUAAAGCGGGUGAAAAGCCCGCUCGCCGGAAGACCAAGGGUUCCUGUCCAACGUUAAUCGGGGCAGGGUGAGUCGACCCCUAAGGCGAGGCCGAAAGGCGUAGUCGAUGGGAAACGGGUUAAUAUUCCCGUACUUGGUGUUACUGCGAAGGGGGGACGGAGAAGGCUAUGUUGGCCGGGCGACGGUUGUCCCGGUUUAAGCGUGUAGGUGUGUGUUCCAGGUAAAUCCGGUUCACUUUAACACUGAGGCGUGACGACGAGG